UUGGUUUAACUUUAACUUCAGUUACCAAGAUCUCUAGGCAGCCAAGUGAGAAACAAAAUGCAUUAUAAUACCAGAGCAGUAUGUGAGCACUGAAAGAAGGAAUGGGACCCUGGCCAUAGUGGGAAUCCAGACCAGCUUGGCUGAGACAAUUUGACUCCUCAAAUCCAACAGAGCUGAGAACAGCCUCUUCAUGCAAGUCUGCUCCCCUCACACUGGCUCCUAGAAACGUACCACACUCACCGAUCUGAUGCCCUCUGAUGGGGAACUCUGAACCUCCUUCUUCCCUCUGUACCAUGGUGUAAAAUUGAAGAUUUUGUUUACUCCCCAAAUUUCGGGAUUACCCAAACCAGGGAUUGUUGAACUCAUGGGACAUCCCUCUUUGUGGUUGCUGGAUGGCAGCUGUCAGCCCCAGGGGUCACGUCCACAGCUCCUUCCAAGACCAGAGGUCCACUCUUGGAGACCAGCCUUCAGCAGCAGAUGGAAGGAAAUCACCAGAUCAUGGGUAAAGCUGGGAGGACUUGCUUUGCAGUGAUGGCAGGAUUGCGGCCUCUCAAGUUAAGAAAGAAAAGUGGUGUGAACCUGGAGUUAGUGAGACUUUGGUGACUCCCCAAAUUUCGGCCUUACCCAGUCCAGGGAUUGUUGAACUCGUAGGACGCCCCCCUUUGUGGUUGCUGGAUGGCAGAUGUCAGUCCUAGAGGUCACGUCCACAGAUAUUGGUUCUGGGUCCCUGGUCUCCAGGCAGAGGGGUGAAGACCAGGAUGAAAAAAAGAAGAGGCUGGUUUUCACACUUCACUUCUGAGCACAAGGACAUGUCACUGCUGUCUGUGUGGUUCCUGUCAUGGAAAGGCUGGCAUGGAGCCAAAGCUGGCUAGUCUGGGGGAUGGAGGGAGGAGCUGGCUCCUGCUGGUGUGUGCAGUCCCAAGGAGGGGGGCAUGGGAAGGCAUGUGCCCCCCAGAUUGGUGCAUGGCGCGGGGGGCAGAUACAGGCUGCCAACUGUGGGCUCUCCAUCCUUCUGCCCUCUCCUGAUGUCUUCACAGUCCAGCAGGCAGGACCUGGCAUGGGAGGGUUGGGCAAAGCAGGCAGGCUCAGUGCCACCACCACCACUCCCACCACCACCAGAGCCUUGUGCCAGCUGUGCCACCAUGGCAAGUUAUCCCCUCUGCCCAGCAGCGGAGGGGAUGGUGGCAGCAUGGAGUUGUGCCAUGUGUUCCUGCUGGCGUGGCAGUUCCCGCGUGGCAGUUCCAGUGGUGGUGGCACUGCUGAGUCUCUUGGCCAGUCCAUGGCAUGUCUCACCUACUGGACUGCGGAGGCUUCCAGGAGGAGCGCAACACAGAGGAGACCAAAGCAUACCACGGAGCAGCCCACAUGUACUCUCACACCCCACGGGCUCCACUUGGCUUCGCUCUGGCCGUGCCACCCACAGUUGCAGGGGCAAGGGGAGGCAUGGGUCCUACUUUUGCAUUUUCAAAAGAUGGUCACACUAGGAGGAAGUCAACAUCUGAACAAGCAGUAGUGACAGUAGUGAUGUGGAACCAGUCCACAGUCAAUCACAUUGCUUUCUUUCACAAUUGUUUUGAAGGCAGGAAUGUGAAUCCUCCUUCUUUCAACUAUCACCCUUCUUCCAGGCCCUCUCCCACUGCUUCAAGGAAAAUCUUAAGGAAAAUCAUCCUGUGUACCCAGACCUCCAACGAAGCAACUGAGAAGGCAAAUCCUCUGGUGGCUGGAAAUGAUUCAGGGUUGAUUGGAAUCACUCUCAUUUCUCACAUGUCCUUUUUCUGACAUGAAUGAUCACUAAAGGAACAGUGCGACCCGCUCCCUUUGUAACAAGAGGUUUGUGUCACACUUCCCCAUUGCAUUGUCACUGUGUGGAAAGCCACUACCUGUAUACAUGAUGCAAUAAUGAUCAGCCUCGUCCUGGGCUUGGACUCCAGUGAUGGUCAAUGUGGCCGUGCUACCAGACUUGGA
Long non-coding RNA from Alligator mississippiensis (American alligator), 1965 nucleotides. RefSeq lists it as uncharacterized. The transcript is spliced from 5 exons. The record is from RefSeq and is a predicted model, not a curated record. NCBI's taxonomy places the organism in Eukaryota, Metazoa, Chordata, Crocodylia, Alligatoridae.